Molecule: non-coding RNA, 27 nt
Filed under: Rattus norvegicus (Norway rat)
Lineage: Eukaryota; Metazoa; Chordata; Mammalia; Rodentia; Muridae
Source: RNAcentral
UAGCACAUUUCCAAAUGUUCCCAAAGG